CUUGACCUCAUUUCAUGGAUCAGUGAACAAGGUAAAGUUUUCGUGGUCAAGUCCAUACCUGAGAUACUAUAAGCAAUAGGUCUACUAUAUUUGGUGUAUGUAAUGAUAGUAAGGUGUACAUGUCCAACUGGCAGGUGUCAUCUGACCUUGACCUCAUUUUCAUGGUUCAGUGGUCAUAGUUUAGUUUUUGUGUUUUGGUCUGUUUUUCUAAUACUGUAUGCAAUAGGUCAACUGUAUUUGGUGUAUGGAAAUAUUUUACGAUGUUCAUGUCAGUCUUGCAAGUUUUAUUUGACCUUGACCUCAUUUUCACAGUUCAUUGCUCAGUGUUAAGUUUUUGUGUUUUGGUCUGUUUUUCUUAAACUAUUAGCAAUAGGUCAACUAUAUUUGUUGUAUGGAAGAAUUGUUAGCUGUACAUGCCUGCCUAGCAUGGUUCAUCUGACCUUGACCUCAUUUUCAUGGUUCAUUGGUCAAUGUUUAGUUUAUUUGGUUAAUGUUAAGUUUAUGUGACAGUUGUAAUAAAGCUUUAUAUUUAGGAAUAUCAACAUAAUAUCAAUGAUUAGUAAAGAAGGCGAGACAUUUCAGCGUGUGCACUCUUGUUGUGUUUUGGUCUGUUUUUCUUAAACUAUAAGCAAUAGGUCAACUAUAUUUGUUGUAUGGAAGAAUUGUGAGCUGUACAUGCCUGCCUAGCAUGGUUCAUCUGACCUUGACCUCAUUUUCAUGGUUCAUUGGUCAAUGUUAAGUUUACUUUGGUUAAUGUUAAGUUUAUGUGACAGUUGUAAUAAAGCUUUAUAUUUAGGACUAUCAACAUAAUAUCAAUGAUUAGUAAAGAAGGCGAGACAUUUCAGCGUGUGCACUCUUGUUAUCAAACAAGAGGAUGUCUUGGGUACUAAAAAUGGUCAAUGAUUAAAUUUGGGGAUUCAAGUAGAAAAGUUCAAUAGCGCAAUACCCUUUUUCUUUUAAACAGGAAUAUAUGUGUCAGUGGUAACAAUGAACACAACAAUGUUCAAAAUCGAGUGAAAACACCGUUCACGCGAAUCAACGAUGCUAAACGUCUUUUCAUUGCAUUGUCCAAACGUGUAAUUAGUUUUUGUAGUAGUCUUAGCCUUUCCUGGUGCAAGGUUUGAUAUAAAUCAUCGAUUGAGCGAAUAUGGGACAUGAUUGGUCGUCGUGGUACCUUAGAGAGUAUCACUAAAUCAGAAUUAGCUCAAGCUUUGCAGCAAAAAAUGGAAAAGACUACCAGAAUACAAAGUUAACGUUUGAUCCAUUGAAUGAGAAGAUGAUUAUCAUCGAUGAUUCGUUUGAACGGUGAUCUCACUCGGUAUUGGACAUGUUUAUUGUAACCAGACACAUAUUCUCGUUUUCCAAAUUUUAAGAAUUGUGCUAUCGAUCUUUACUACUUGUAAGCAUCCAAAGUAAAACAUUUUCCAUUUUUAAUACCCAAGACAUCCUUUGUCAAAAAAUAUAGUUUAUUAGAUUCGUUAUUUUUCGUAACCCCAUUUAAAUUAUUCAUGCAUGUGGUCUUGUCAAUAACAAAAAUAGCCAUAUAUAUAUACUUUCGGUGACGAAAUAAUAGUAUAUGUUAUAAUGUUUUGGCUUGUGAGUAAAAUCAGGUUGGAGCGAUAUUUGUAUCCAGGUGUAUUUAUGUAAUUACCAGGUUGUAAGGUAAUACAUCGACAAUCAUGAUAAUUCGAACCUUUUGUUUAACACAGGAUGUAAGUAUAACGACUCUGUUUUCCUCCAUCAUGAUGCUAAGUCUUUCUAUAAAAUCUGUUAAUGGUAUUUAUUUUAUUUUAGUGUAACGUAUUGUAUGUUUUUUUACUUUCUUUCAAUGCAAAUUCACUUCCACUGUUUAUGCGAUAAAAGUGUGCUACGUUGUUUCAGAGUAUGUUUUUGAUAUAUUAUGUAUACAUUUUGCGUAUGAGUAUUUUGUAAAAUGGAAAAAUAUCUCCUUGUGAUUCGAAGUUUUUAAUAAAAAGUUUGUAUAAUUGUAA
Long non-coding RNA from Mytilus californianus (California mussel), 1991 nucleotides. RefSeq lists it as uncharacterized. Lineage: Eukaryota; Metazoa; Mollusca; Bivalvia; Mytilida; Mytilidae. The transcript has 2 exons. The record is from RefSeq and is a predicted model, not a curated record.